Molecule: ribosomal RNA, 440 nt
Filed under: uncultured bacterium
Lineage: Bacteria
Description: partial 16S ribosomal RNA
Rfam family: Bacterial small subunit ribosomal RNA
Source: RNAcentral
CCUACGGGCGGCAGCAGUAGGGAAUAUUGCUCAAUGGGGGAAACCCUGAAGCAGCAACGCCGCGUGGAGGAUGAAGGUCUUCGGAUUGUAAACUCCUUUUGUUAGAGAAGAUUAUGACGGUAUCUAACGAAUAAGCACCGGCUAACUCCGUGCCAGCAGCCGCGGUAAUACGGAGGGUGCAAGCGUUACUUGGAAUCACUGGGCGUAAAGUGUACGUAGGCGGGUGAAUGAGUCAGAUGUGAAAUCCUGUAGCUUAACUACAGAACUGCAUUUGAUACUGUUACUCUGGAGUGUGGGAGAGGUAGGUGGAAUUCUUGGUGUAGGGGUAAAAUGCGUAGAGAUCAAGAGGAAUACUCAUUGCGAAGGCGACCUGCUGGAACAUUACUGACGCUGAUGCACGAAAGCGUGGGGAGCAAACAGGAUUAGAUACCCCGGUAGUC